This 87-nucleotide transfer RNA is filed under the name Elusimicrobiota bacterium. RNAcentral describes it as "Elusimicrobia bacterium (groundwater metagenome) tRNA-Ser". It matches the Rfam family "tRNA". From Rfam's summary of the family: Transfer RNA (tRNA) molecules are approximately 80 nucleotides in length. The record is from RNAcentral. Lineage: Bacteria; Pseudomonadati; Elusimicrobiota.
GGAGAGGUGCGUGAGCGGUUUAAACGGCACGCCUGGAAAGCGUGUAGGCUCGAAAGGGCCUCGAGGGUUCGAAUCCCUCCCUCUCCG